GAUGAACGCUGGCGGCGUGCCUAAUACAUGCAAGUCGAGCGAACAGACGAGGAGCUUGCUCCUCUGACGUUAGCGGCGGACGGGUGAGUAACACGUGGAUAACCUACCUAUAAGACUGGGAUAACUUCGGGAAACCGGAGCUAAUACCGGAUAAUAUAUUGAACCGCAUGGUUCAAUAGUGAAAGACGGUUUUGCUGUCACUUAUAGAUGGAUCCGCGCCGCAUUAGCUAGUUGGUAAGGUAACGGCUUACCAAGGCGACGAUGCGUAGCCGACCUGAGAGGGUGAUCGGCCACACUGGAACUGAGACACGGUCCAGACUCCUACGGGUGGCAGCAGUAGGGAAUCUUCCGCAAUGGGCGAAAGCCUGACGGAGCAACGCCGCGUGAGUGAUGAAGGUCUUCGGAUCGUAAAACUCUGUUAUUAGGGAAGAACAAAUGUGUAAGUAACUAUGCACGUCUUGACGGUACCUAAUCAGAAAGCCACGGCUAACUACGUG
RNAcentral lists this ribosomal RNA (497 nucleotides) under uncultured bacterium. Its description in RNAcentral is "partial 16S ribosomal RNA". It matches the Rfam family "Bacterial small subunit ribosomal RNA", at positions 28 to 507 of the family's 1533-position model. The record is from RNAcentral.